RNAcentral lists this transfer RNA (76 nucleotides) under candidate division Kazan bacterium. RNAcentral describes it as "tRNA-Pro". It matches the Rfam family "tRNA". From Rfam's summary of the family: Transfer RNA (tRNA) molecules are approximately 80 nucleotides in length. Their secondary structure includes four short double-helical elements and three loops (D, anti-codon, and T loops). Further hydrogen bonds mediate the characteristic L-shaped molecular structure. tRNAs have two regions of fundamental functional importance: the anti-codon, which is responsible for specific mRNA codon recognition, and the 3' end, to which the tRNAs corresponding amino acid is attached (by aminoacyl-tRNA synthetases). tRNAs cope with the degeneracy of the genetic code in two manners: having more than one tRNA (with a specific anti-codon) for a particular amino acid; and 'wobble' base-pairing, i.e. permitting non-standard base-pairing at the 3rd anti-codon position. RNAcentral also lists the same sequence under 1 other name. The record is from RNAcentral.
CGGGGUGUGGCCUAGUGGUUAAGGCGCACGUCUAGGGGACGUGAGAUCGCUGGUUCGAAUCCAGUCACCCCGACCA